This 393-nucleotide ribosomal RNA is filed under the name uncultured bacterium. RNAcentral describes it as "bacterial SSU rRNA". It matches the Rfam family "Bacterial small subunit ribosomal RNA", at positions 371 to 777 of the family's 1533-position model. The record is from RNAcentral.
AUGGGCGAAAGCCAUGACGGAGCAAUACCGCGUGAGGGAUGACGGCCUAUGGGUUGUAAACCUCUUUUUUCAGGGAGGAAUCAAUGACGUGUACCUGAAGAAUAAGCAUCGGCUAACUCCGUGCCAGCAGCCGCGGUAAGACGGAGGAUGCAAGUGUUAUCCGGAAUCACUGGGCGUAAAGCGUCUGUAGGUGGUUUGAUAAGUCAACUGUUAAAUCUUGACGCUCGUCUUCAAAAUCGCAGUCGAAACUAUUAGACUAGAGUAUAGUAGGGGUAAAGGGAAUUUCCAGUGGAGCGGUGAAAUGCGUAGAUAUUGGAAAGAACACCGAUGGCGAAGGCACUUUACUGGGCUAUUACUAACACUCAGAGACGAAAGCUAGGGUAGCAAAUGGGA